Molecule: ribosomal RNA, 497 nt
Filed under: uncultured bacterium
Lineage: Bacteria
Description: partial 16S ribosomal RNA
Rfam family: Bacterial small subunit ribosomal RNA
Source: RNAcentral
GAUGAACGCUGGCGGCGUGCCUAAUACAUGCAAGUCGAGCGAACAGACGAGGAGCUUGCUCCUCUGACGUUAGCGGCGGACGGGUGAGUAACACGUGGAUAACCUACCUAUAAGACUGGGAUAACUUCGGGAAACCGGAGCUAAUGCCGGAUAAUAUAUUGAACCGCAUGGUUCAAUAGUGAAAGACGGUUUUGCUGUCACUUAUAGAUGGAUCCGCGCCGCAUUAGCUAGUUGGUAAGGUAACGGCUUACCAAGGCAACGAUGCGUAGCCGACCUGAGAGGGUGAUCGGCCACACUGGACCUGAGACGCGGUCCAGACUCCUACGGGAGGCAGCAGUAGGGAAUCUUCCGCAAUGGGCGAAAGCUUGACGGAGCAACGCCGCGUGAGUGAUGAAGGUCUUCGGAUCGUAAAACUCUGUUAUUAGGGAAGAACAAAUGUGUAAGUAACUAUGCACGUCUUGACGGUACCUAAUCAGAAAGCCACGGCUAACUACGUG